Long non-coding RNA from Chenopodium quinoa (quinoa), 2569 nucleotides. RefSeq lists it as uncharacterized. NCBI's taxonomy places the organism in Eukaryota, Viridiplantae, Streptophyta, Magnoliopsida, Caryophyllales, Amaranthaceae. The record is from RefSeq and is a predicted model, not a curated record. The transcript has 6 exons.
UCCGCAUUUAUUACUCCUCAAACAAGUAGUAACUCUCUAGUCGUCUCUCUUCUCAGCCGUCACACUCACACUCUCUCAACUUCUCAAGAUCAUUCAAAUAAUAUGUCAUACUUCAUAUUCAUAAGAUGGAUUCUGCACCAAAAUCCACUCAAAUUGACGGGGAAGAAGGUUACCCGGAGCUUGAAUUUGUUAAGGAAACAUGGGGUAAAUCGGUUAAACAACAAAAGGGAAAGAAAAUCGGCCACACUUACAAGCCUGGUAAGAAUUUUAAGCGAUGUAGAAAGCUUACCUCUGGUGUGUGGGUGAAUUUUACCAUUUUAGAACUUGACCCUGAUGGUAAUUUGUGGUGUAAGUGUAAGAAAUGUGGCAAGAUUUAUAGUGCUGAUAGUAAUUAUGGUACUGGUAAUUUGCUUCGACAUUCUACUAGUUGUAAGAAGAAAAAUAGUAGAGAUAUUGGUCAAAUGCUUUUGCAAUCUAGUGUUGAUGGUCUGAAAACUUGAAAUCCUACCUUUGAUAUUGAAGUUUUUCGUGAUUUUCUUGCUGUUGCUAUUGUUAAGCAUGGGUUGCCCUUUCAAUUUGCUGAAUAUGAAGGGAUUAGGAAUGUAUUCUCUUACUUGCAACCUGAUGUGAAAUUGUUCUCUAGAAACACCACAAAAAAUGAUAUAAUUAAACUUUACAAUAUGGAGAAAGUAAGACUUGGUGCUGCCUUGCAUGAAGUUUCUUGGAGAAUUUCUUUAACAUCUGAUUGUUGGUCAUCUCUUACCACUGAUGGAUAUAUAUCACUUACUGCACACUAUAUUGAUGAGUCUUGGACUUUACAGAAAAGGAUUUUGAACUUCUCUUUAAUGCCCCCACCCCAUACUGGUGUUGCUAUGUCUGAAAAAAUUUACACAUUGCUAAAAUAGUGGAGAAUUGAGAAAAAAAUAAUGUCAAUGACUUUGGAUAAUGCUUCUGCAAAUGAUGUGUUUGUUGAUUGUUUGAUAGGAAAUCUUGAUUUGUUGUGUGAUGGGACAUAUUUUCAUAUUCGUUGUUGCUGUCGUAUUCUGAAUUUGGUAGUCCAAGAGGGACUUAAGGAGGUUGAUGACGCUGUUUGUAAGGUUAGAGAAACUUUGAAAUAUUGCAAGGGUUCACAGUCUAGGAAACAAAGAUUUCUUGAUUGCGUUGCUUAUGUUUCAUUGUGUUCAUCUAAGGGGUUGAGGCAAGAUGUGCCAACUCGAUGGAACUCUACUUAUAUGAUGUUAGAGAGUGAUAUAUUUUACAGAAAGGCUUUUGUUCAUCUUCAAAAAACUGAUACUAACUAUGUGCAUUGUCCAACAAAUGAGGAGUGGUCUAGGCUUGAGAAAAUUUUCAAGUUUUUGAAAGUUUUUUAUGAUGUUACUUGUGCUUUUUCUGGUUCAAAAUACCCUACUGCAAAUCUCUACUUUCCUAAUUUUAUGAAGGUAAGAUUGUUGUUGAAAUAUGAAAUGGAAAGUGUUGAUUCUUUUGUUAGAAAGAUGGCAUUGAGAAUGUGGGGUAAGUUUGAGAAAUAUUAAUCUGAUUUCUCUCCCAUUAUGGCUAUUGCUGCGGUUAUGGAUCCUCGAUACAAAUUUCAGUUGGUGAGUUUUGUAUAUGCCAAAGUAUAUGAUUCAAAUGCCUCUUUUGAGGUGUCAUGCUUGUAAGACAAGUUAUUUGAGUUGUUUAAUUCAUAUGUUACUUCUUCAACUCAAUCAUAUGGUGGAUCAUCCACACCUUCUAAAACUAAUCAUGGUGGUGUGAACUUUGUUCCUGCUGAUGGCUUCAUGAAGGACUUUGAUGAUUUCUUUGGAGGGGAAUUUGCUAGUACUCCAAAAUCUAAACUUGAAGUAUUCUUGGAGGAGCCUUUAAUUCCUCGUAUCAAUGAAUUGGACAUCCUUGAUUUUUGGAAAUCAAGUCAAUUUCGCUUCCCCAUUCUUUCUCUUAUGGUUAGAGAUAUCCAUUGUAUGCAUAUUUCAACUGUCGCUUCAGAAUCUGCAUUUAUUAUUGGUGGGAGGGUUUUAGACCCUGUUAGGAGCUCUUUAAAGCCAUCUGUUGUGGAAGCAUUGAUAUGUCUAAGAGAUUGAUUGUAUGGGCAGGAAGCUGAUGAGAUUGUUGGGGUGGAGGAUAUAUGUGACAACAUCAUGAAUUUAAAGCUUGAUAUUAAUGAAACUUCAUGUCCAAGCACUACACCAAGUCCUGUUUUGGCUAGUGGAAGUGGGAGCACUCCUUGUUCAACUUCCAAACCUGUUGUUAAUGUUCUUGAUUAGGUACCCUUGCAAGAGGAGGUGGCUUGAAUUGGUGGCAUAUGAAAUUUGGAAUUCAAGUGGAAGUUGUCAAUCUUGUCGUCACAAAUCUGAUUACGGAAUGAACAUUUUGGGUUUUUUUUGAACAAUUAAGUGACAUGUAAUAUUUUGAACAAUUAAUAUUUUGGGCAAACUUUAAUUUCUGGUUUGUAAUAUUUUGGCCUUUUGGGCAAACAUGGCUACUAUGGUUGGUUUGGUAAUGUUGAAAAUAUUUGGGGCCAAGUGAGCCUAUUUUUGUGGGUUAAUUGAGAUAAUCAGGUUUUUUUUUUUUU